UGCAUUUACUUGUGUUUGGCAUAUACAGGAAAUUGGGUAAUGGAAAUUGCAUUUCUAGGCAUGGUAAAACUUAGCCAUUUUCAAGGUAAAUAACUUCCAUUUCAAAAUGGCAAGUCUUGUUUCAAAAGGAAAUUGUGUCUAUUUUGUUAAGUCUCUGUGGUCUCCAUUAUUGUUUCUACCGUUAUUUUGUUAAAUCUUUUGAGGGUUUUGCACAACAAUCUUAUAACGUUAACAAGUACAGUCCUGACACCUCGUAAAAUUAUGGAAUGCAAAUGUGAGCAGAUGGGGAGUAAUUGAAGGUCAUUCACACUAUCCUCUACUGUAGAAUUGAGAUAAAAAGACCUGUUAUCCUGAUGCUUUCUCUGCACAAUCAUUCCUGCAUAUCUCUAAAAAAUCACAUCAUCCUAGAGCUGCUCUUACAUGCAUCUCUAGGAUCCUCUUUUCUUUUAUUUGGAUGAUAAUAUUGAUAGAGAUACUUAAAUGGUAAUGUCCUGAUGAUGUUAUUCUGCUGUGCAGUAUGAU
Molecule: unclassified non-coding RNA, 522 nt
Filed under: Hevea brasiliensis (rubber tree)
Lineage: Eukaryota; Viridiplantae; Streptophyta; Magnoliopsida; Malpighiales; Euphorbiaceae
Source: RNAcentral